RNAcentral lists this ribosomal RNA (253 nucleotides) under uncultured bacterium. RNAcentral describes it as "partial 16S ribosomal RNA". It matches the Rfam family "Bacterial small subunit ribosomal RNA", at positions 524 to 776 of the family's 1533-position model. The record is from RNAcentral.
GACGAACCGUGCGAACGUUAUUCGGAAUCAUUGGGCUUAAAGGGUGCGUAGGCGGGCUCGUGAGUCAGGGGUGAAAUCCCACGGCCCAACCGUGGAAGUGCCUCUGAUACCGCGGGCCUCGAGGGGGAUAGGGGCGUGCGGAACUUCCGGUGGAGCGGUGAAAUGCGUAGAUAUCAAGUGGAACACCAGUGGCGAAGGCGAGUCUCUGGACAUUUCCUGACGCUGAGGCACGAAAGCCAGGGGAGCAAACGGG